CCUACGGGUGGCAGCAGUGAGGAAUAUUGGUCAAUGGGCGAGAGCCUGAACCAGCCAAGUCGCGUGAGGGAAGACGGUCCUAUGGAUUGUAAACCUCUUUUGCCGGGGAGCAAAAAGCGGUACGUGUACCGCAUCGAGAGUACCCGGAGAAAAAGCAUCGGCUAAGUCCGUGCCAGCAGCCGCGGUAAUACGGAGGGUUCGAGCGUUAUCCGGAUUUAUUGGGGUUAAAGGGUGCGCAGGCGGCGAGUGAAGGCAGCUGUGAAAUUUCCGGGCUCAACCCCGGCCAUCCGGUGGAAACUGGCGUGCUAGAGUCGGCGGGAAGCAGGCGGAAUGCGUGGUGUAGCGGUGAAAUGCUUAGAUAUGACGAAGAACCCCGAUUGCGAAGGCAGCAUACUGGAGCGCAACUGACGCUGAUGCACGAAAGCGUGGGUAUCGAACAGGAUUAGAUACCCUGGUAGUC
Molecule: ribosomal RNA, 460 nt
Filed under: uncultured bacterium
Lineage: Bacteria
Description: partial 16S ribosomal RNA
Rfam family: Bacterial small subunit ribosomal RNA
Source: RNAcentral